Molecule: long non-coding RNA, 1975 nt
Filed under: Mus pahari (shrew mouse)
Lineage: Eukaryota; Metazoa; Chordata; Mammalia; Rodentia; Muridae
Description: predicted gene 15939 (MGP_PahariEiJ_G0003933.1)
Source: RNAcentral
GAGGGAUGGAGCAGAGGAGAGAGAUGGUGGCUGAGACCCGCCUGAGGAUUCACCAGGGAGCAGCCUCGGCGACCUCAUCCAAGGACAGCCAGCCUGUCAGCAGGAAGGGUGGGGACCCGCAGAGCUAGGACCUCGCUACCCGGCCAGCCUUUUGCCUUCGAGAGAGGAAGAAGGGAAGGGAUGGGAACGCCCGGACGAUGCAAGCCCUCUAGGGCUGCGGCAGCCUUUACCUUUGUACGCCCAAGCGGUGACACGGCGCAGCCCGCAGGGGCUGUUCCACUGCCCCGAGAGCCACUGGGUCCCGCGCGCCCCUGGGGCUGCCGCAGCCACUCCUGAGCCGACUGCUGCUAAAAGAGGAUCCGGCUCAUCCCAACUCUUGAUUAUCCCAGAAGAGAGCUCCUAGCGUUGUAAGCGCUCACACAUGCUCUCCGCUCCUCUCUCUGCCUCUUAGGGAUAGGAACGUAUUUUGGGAGGCAUUCAAAUAUCCCAAGCCCCAACUUCAGCCUGCUCUGGUUCCCAGAUCCCAGCUAGGUAUGGCUCUAACUGGUCUGGGGGAACAGCUAUGGCCUCACAGCAUCCCUAUGCUCCUUGCUUUGUGUGCAUGACCCCGGAGUGUGGGGUUGAGUAGCCCUUGCUUUUGCAACUUAAUUGAGUUUUACCAUGUUUAAAGAAUGUAUUUUAUUCAGCUGAGUAGACAUUUUCUGCUCAACUGUCUUCAAAACAGGACUGACAAGUGUUCUAAGGAGAUACUCAGGGCUAGCAUCACUCACUCACAACUGUAGAAACUGGAACACUUCAAAGAGGAAUUCAGGAUCUUCAGGUUCUUGAAUUAGUUCAAAGCAGUCUUAUAAACACAAUUUUCUUCUCAAGAACAGUCACCAUGGUCAUUGAGGAUAAGCAAUAGCUAUCAGGAACCCUGGACAUGGUACAGAAUGGUGAGAAUUGGAAAUGACUAGUAGUACAGUGAUCUAUAUUAUCAUCAUACUGGGCCAGGCCAUAUCAAGCUCCAUAUCAAGCUACUACAACCAGAAUUGGAGGAGGCUAGUCUAAAUGACCCUUACAGCAGGGGCUGUUACUUCUGUGUGUCUCUGCAAAGAUUCAGAGACUUUUUGCUGUUGUUGCAAGAGUAGAAGAAACCAGAUAUGUGGAAAAUUCGGAUUUUUUUCAAGUAUACAAAAAGGAAAAUCUUUUAAUGGUUCUGUUGAAGCUCACAGUUUUACUGCCAAGUAUAUUUAUUUACAUAUUUCCUUAAAGCAUCUCAUUUAUUUUAGUUAUUAAAUUAUGUUUAUUUACUUGAGCUAUUAUAGGCAGUUUCUUUGAAUUAUAAAUUGUAUUCAAAGCCUUAAGGCAUCCUAACUCAAAUUGAGAGAAUAUACACUUUUGUUCUUUUCUUAUACUAAAUUGAUCAUGGAGACAAGUGUACACUGUGGCAUUGUGUUUAUGAUGUGUGAUUGAAGGCCAUGAUGAAGUUAUAUAGUUGAUAUUUGAAUGACCCUUAAAACAAAAUUAUCACAGAAGUAAAAAUACAAUGGAAACAACCCUAUAUGUUUUAUUAACAUGUGGAACUCUACAGCAGUAAUUGCUGAUAGUGAUAAAAUACUUUUGGUUUAUCAGAGACAGCUUUAGAACACAGGGCUGCUACGUGCCUGCCUCAUCGAUCUAAAUGAGCUCUCUAAAAUCUUCCUGUGGGAUCAAACAGGAGGACUCCAUUCUCCAGUGACCUAACACUUAAGUGUGGCUCAUUCUUAAAAUAAUAUUUUCCACUGGAGGUUGGUUGCUUGGAACACUGAAUGGCUUACUCCUUGUAAGACAUAAUCCAAAACCUCCUGCCAGAGACUUAUGGAAUACCUACAUACACUCAGCAAAUGAAGAAUUUAUUCUCCGAUGUCUUUCUAUGUUACACAUGAUAUAGAAAGCUGCCUGGUCUAAACUUGGCUGAGUUAAAUUUAAAUGUAUUUGCCAGAAUAAAAUUCCC